RNAcentral lists this ribosomal RNA (329 nucleotides) under uncultured eukaryote. Its description in RNAcentral is "partial 18S ribosomal RNA". It matches the Rfam family "Eukaryotic small subunit ribosomal RNA", at positions 1470 to 1796 of the family's 1831-position model. The record is from RNAcentral.
CCCCUAGAUGUUCUGGGCCGCACGCGCGCUACACUGAACAGUUCAACAAGUCUUAACCUUGGCCGAUAGGUCUGGGUAAUCUUUGAACGCUGUUCGUGAUUGGGAUAGACCUUUGCAAUUAUGGGUCUUCAACGAGGAAUUCCUAGUAAACGCAAGUCAUCAGCUUGCAUUGAUUACGUCCCUGCCCUUUGUACACACCGCCCGUCGCUCCUACCGAUUGAAUGGUCCGGUGAAAUGUUCGGAUCGCGGCAAAUCGGACGGGUAACCGUCAGGUUCGCUGCGAGAAGUUCAUUAAACCUUAUCAUUUAGAGGAAGGAGAAGUCGUAACA